Molecule: ribosomal RNA, 253 nt
Filed under: uncultured bacterium
Lineage: Bacteria
Description: partial 16S ribosomal RNA
Rfam family: Bacterial small subunit ribosomal RNA
Source: RNAcentral
UACGUAGGGUGCGAGCGUUGUCCGGAAUUAUUGGGCGUAAAGGGCUCGUAGGCGGUCUGUCACGUCGGUAGUGAAAACACGGGGCUUAACCCCGUGCCUGCUUCCGAUACGGGCAGACUAGAGGUAUGCAGGGGAGAACGGAAUUCCUGGUGUAGCGGUGAAAUGCGCAGAUAUCAGGAGGAACACCGGUGGCGAAGGCGGUUCUCUGGGCAUUACCUGACGCUGAGGAGCGAAAGUGUGGGGAGCGAACAGG